This 68-nucleotide transfer RNA is filed under the name Marmota monax (woodchuck). RNAcentral's name for it is "tRNA.Ala". Lineage: Eukaryota; Metazoa; Chordata; Mammalia; Rodentia; Sciuridae. The record is from RNAcentral.
GGAUGUGGCUCAUGUGGUAGCACGCUUGCCUGGCAUGCAUGAGGCACUGGGUUCAAUCCUCAGCUCCA